This 710-nucleotide ribosomal RNA is filed under the name Zouga sp. ERLG-2019. RNAcentral's name for it is "SSU rRNA". It matches the Rfam family "Eukaryotic small subunit ribosomal RNA", at positions 1070 to 1784 of the family's 1831-position model. Lineage: Eukaryota; Metazoa; Arthropoda; Insecta; Hemiptera; Cicadidae. The record is from RNAcentral.
GAUGACUCGGCGGGCAGCUUCCGGGAAACCAAAGCUUUUGGGUUCCGGGGGAAGUAUGGUUGCAAAGCUGAAACUUAAAGGAAUUGACGGAAGGGCACCACCAGGAGUGGAGCCUGCGGCUUAAUUUGACUCAACACGGGAAACCUCACCAGGCCCGGACACCGGAAGGAUUGACAGAUUGAGAGCUCUUUCUUGAUUCGGUGGGUGGUGGUGCAUGGCCGUUCUUAGUUGGUGGAGCGAUUUGUCUGGUUAAUUCCGGUAACGAACGAGACUCUAGCCUGCUAAAUAGACGAUUUCCGGUAUCCACAAGUGCUACCGGCGAAAUCAAUAUCUUCUUAGAGGGACAGGCGGCUUUCAGCCGCACGAAACUGAGCAAUAACAGGUCUGUGAUGCCCUUAGAUGUCCUGGGCCGCACGCGCGCUACACUGAAGGAAUCAGCGUGUAUACCCUGGCCGAAAGGCUCGGGCAACCCGUUGAACCUCCUUCGUGCUAGGGAUUGGGGCUUGCAAUUGUUCCCCAUGAACGAGGAAUUCCCAGUAAGCGCGAGUCAUAAGCUCGCGUUGAUUACGUCCCUGCCCUUUGUACACACCGCCCGUCGCUACUACCGAUUGAAUGAUUUAGUGAGGUCUUCGGACUGGUGCGCGGCGGCCGCCUGCGCGGCCGCCGAUGCCACCGGGAAGAUGACCGAACUUGAUCAUUUAGAGGAAGUA